UUUUGCUUGUUCUAUGUACAAACAUAUUCUGUUCUCACUUCAAUUUUUCUGUGUUCCUACAAAAAUGUGGUGAAAGUGAAAGACAAGCUGCCCUUUUGUUUUCCUAGUGUUUCUUUGAUUUUUCUUUUUCUUUUUAUUUGUGGGGGCACUACAAGAAAAAUGAUCUUUUGCAACGAUUUAAGUAUUGUUGGGAAUAAAAUUAUUGCAAUAAAUCAUUAAUUCCAGCGAUUUUGAUGUUGCUGCGGACUUUUAAUAUCAAGUUUUGAAAUUGAUCUUUUGCAACGAUUUUUUGACUUUUUGCGACGAAAAUAUUUGCUGUAAUAUAAAAACACAUCAUAAAGUUUUGAAAUGGAUGUUUGCAGCGAUUUUUUUAUUUUUUGCGACAUAAAAUUUGCUGCAAAAUGUAAAAAAACUAGUUCCGACAAUAAAUGGCCCGAUGAAACUAGUGUUUUUUAAGAGCAAAUCACUCGGCGCCAAAACGUACCAAAAUGCCCUUUCCCCCUGGAACACUAUUUCGCAUUUGAGAAAUCCCGCCCGCGUCGACCUCUCUAGUCUUUCGUCGCCCAGCACCCAGUCUUCGAAAUCGCCAUCGCAGACUCACUUCCACCCUCCCCCUCCGUUCGAAGCAAUUAUUUCCUCCCCCUAUCAGAGUCUUUGAAGCCUUAGCCCAAUCCCUAUUCCCAUCCCUCGAAAUCCAUUGAAGCCCCAUCAUAUGAAGCUUCAUCAACCACGACUCUGGGUGUUUAUUUAAUCAUGACUGACAUUAACAAUACAGUGACAAAAUUGCGCAGUAAGGGAAAUUACCAUGAAAGCAAGGAGUUCUUUGCCUGCUUCAUUCUUGUUUUCUUCUUUAAAUUGGGUGUGUAACAAGGUGGAGAGAAGUUAGAAACAAGCAUAAAUCGUGCAACCUACAGCCUGAAGAGGUGAAAUGAUUUUCUGUCCUGUUUUGUUACAAUUUGUACACUUUCUACAAAACAUUAUGCUAUACUUUUAACUCUAUUUCUUCCUAUAUUAAUCCCGAUAACUUAAUUAGUUCCCAGCUUAUUACUUGUUUCCCGUUACGUACUCUAGCUGGAGCUAGCUUUGAGACAAAAGCCUUAUGAUCGAUGUUUGUUAAUUUAUUUUCAUAA
Molecule: long non-coding RNA, 1130 nt
Organism: Carya illinoinensis
Lineage: Eukaryota; Viridiplantae; Streptophyta; Magnoliopsida; Fagales; Juglandaceae
Exons: 3
Source: RefSeq, a predicted model, not a curated record